Molecule: transfer RNA, 72 nt
Filed under: Heliconius melpomene (postman butterfly)
Lineage: Eukaryota; Metazoa; Arthropoda; Insecta; Lepidoptera; Nymphalidae
Description: tRNA HMEL014855
Rfam family: tRNA
About the family: Transfer RNA (tRNA) molecules are approximately 80 nucleotides in length. Their secondary structure includes four short double-helical elements and three loops (D, anti-codon, and T loops). Further hydrogen bonds mediate the characteristic L-shaped molecular structure. tRNAs have two regions of fundamental functional importance: the anti-codon, which is responsible for specific mRNA codon recognition, and the 3' end, to which the tRNAs corresponding amino acid is attached (by aminoacyl-tRNA synthetases). tRNAs cope with the degeneracy of the genetic code in two manners: having more than one tRNA (with a specific anti-codon) for a particular amino acid; and 'wobble' base-pairing, i.e. permitting non-standard base-pairing at the 3rd anti-codon position.
Source: RNAcentral
ACAAGUAUGGCUUAGUGGUCAGAGCGCUUGUACGAUUUCCAAGAGGCAUGGGUUCAAAUCCCACUACAUUCA